This 132-nucleotide non-coding RNA is filed under the name uncultured Streptococcus sp. RNAcentral's name for it is "preQ1-II (pre queuosine) riboswitch". It matches the Rfam family "PreQ1-II (pre queuosine) riboswitch aptamer". From Rfam's summary of the family: Q is a hyper modified nucleoside present in some anticodons in tRNAs (Try, Asn, Asp and His). The record is from RNAcentral. Lineage: Bacteria; Bacillati; Bacillota; Bacilli; Lactobacillales; Streptococcaceae.
GCUAUACUUAUAAAGUUGGUUUGUCAAAUGCAACUCUAUCAAGAGGGGUUCAUUGGCAAAGAUCAACCCUUGGUGCUUAGCUUCUUUCACCAAGCAUAUUAGAGCGGAAAAACCGCUAAAGGAGAAAACGAU